CAGGCGCUGGCGGGCAAGGUGCGCAUCGGCCUUGCCGCCCUCGAGGAGAUCUUUUCCGAGGAAGGCCCGUUCGAUCCGGGUGCGACGGC
RNAcentral lists this transfer RNA (89 nucleotides) under Variovorax sp. B4. RNAcentral's name for it is "tRNA-Gly". Lineage: Bacteria; Pseudomonadati; Pseudomonadota; Betaproteobacteria; Burkholderiales; Comamonadaceae. The record is from RNAcentral.